AACGAACGCUGGCGGCGCGCCUAAUACAUGCAAGUCGAGCGAGAAGACGUAGCAAUACGUUUGUAAAGCGGCGAACGGGUGAGGAAUACAUGGGUAACCUACCCUCGAGUGGGGAAUAACUAGCCGAAAGGUUAGCUAAUACCGCGUACGCUCCUUGGACUUCGGUUCAGGGAGGAAAGCGAUACCGUGGGUAUCGCGCUCUUGGAUGGGCUCAUGUCCUAUCAGCUUGUUGGUGGGGUAACGGCUCACCAAGGCUUCGACGGGUAGCUGGUCUGAGAGGACGAUCAGCCACACUGGCACUGCGACACGGGCCAGACUCCUACGGGAGGCAGCAGUAAGGAAUAUUGCGCAAUGGGCGAAAGCCUGACGCAGCGACGCCGCGUGGGGGAUGAAGGUCUUCGGAUUGUAAACCCCGUUUCGGG
RNAcentral lists this ribosomal RNA (422 nucleotides) under uncultured bacterium. RNAcentral's name for it is "bacterial SSU rRNA". It matches the Rfam family "Bacterial small subunit ribosomal RNA", at positions 29 to 441 of the family's 1533-position model. The record is from RNAcentral.